Molecule: ribosomal RNA, 662 nt
Filed under: Ghatixalus asterops (Ghat tree frog)
Lineage: Eukaryota; Metazoa; Chordata; Amphibia; Anura; Rhacophoridae
Description: partial 12S ribosomal RNA
Rfam family: Bacterial small subunit ribosomal RNA
Source: RNAcentral
UGAUUAUAAGCGCCAGCUUGACUCAGUUAAAGAAAAGAGAGCCGGCCAACCCGGUGCCAGCCGCCGCGGCUACACCGCCGGGCUCAAGUUGAUAUAUACCGGCGUUAAGCGUGAUUAAAGAAAGCUAAAAUUAGGGUUAAAUUUGAACCCGGCCGUGAAAAGCUUGUUCAACAGAAGUACAUAAACGAAAGUUACCCUAAUUAUUAUUCUUGACUACACGACAGUUUAGAAACAAACUGGGAUUAGAUACCCCACUAUGCCAAACCGUAAAUUUAACCCACACAUAUAACGCCAGGGUACUACGAGCUUUAGCUUAAAACCCAAAGGACUUGACGGUGUCCAACCCAACUAGAGGAGCCUGUUCUAUAAUCGAUAAUCCACGAUAUACCUAACCAUUUUUUGCCACUCAGCCCGUAUACCUCCGUCGUAAGCUUACCGUAUGAACGCACAACAGUGAGCCCAAUGGCUUCACGCCAUAACGUCAGGUCAAGGUGCAGCUCAUGAAAUGGAAGCAAUGGGCUACAAUUUCUAAUUUAGAACAAACGAAACACUACAUGAAACACGGUCAUGAAGGAGGAUUUAGAAGUAAGUGGGGAAUAGAGAGCCCCACUAAACUCGGCCCUAGGACAUGUACAAACCGCCCGUCACCCUCUUCAACAGCC